GAUGAACGCUAGCGGCAGGCUUAACACAUGCAAGUCGAGGGGUAGGGCAGCAAUGCCUGAGACCGGCGCACGGGUGCGUAACGCGUAUGCAAUCUACCUUGUACAGGGGAAUAGCCCAGAGAAAUUUGGAUUAAUGCCCCAUAGCAUAUUUGAAUGGCAUCAUUUAAAUAUUAAAGUUCAGGCGGUACAAGAUGAGCAUGCGUCCCAUUAGCUAGUUGGUAUGGUAACGGCAUACCAAGGCAAUGAUGGGUAGGGGUCCUGAGAGGGAGAUCCCCCACACUGGUACUGAGACACGGACCAGACUCCUACGGGAGGCAGCAGUGAGGAAUAUUGGGCAAUGGGCGCUAGCCUGACCCAGCCAUGCCGCGUGCAGGAAGACGGUCCUAUGGAUUGUAAACUGCUUUUAUCUGGGAAGAAAAAGUCCAUGCGUGGAAAAUUGCCGGUACAGAUGAAUAAGCACCGGCU
Molecule: ribosomal RNA, 465 nt
Filed under: uncultured bacterium
Lineage: Bacteria
Description: bacterial SSU rRNA
Rfam family: Bacterial small subunit ribosomal RNA
Source: RNAcentral